UACGGAGGGGGCUAGCGUUGUUCGGAAUUACUUGGCGUAAAGCGCACGUAGGCGGCUUUGUAAGUUAGAGGUGAAAGCCCGGAGCUCAACUCCGGAAUUGCCUUUAAGACUGCAUCGCUUGAAUCAUGGAGAGGUGAGUGGAAUUCCGAGUGUAGAGGUGAAAUUCGUAGAUAUUCGGAAGAACACCAGUGGCGAAGGCGACUCACUGGACAUGUAUUGACGCUGAGGUGCGAAAGCGUGGGGAGCAAACAGG
This 253-nucleotide ribosomal RNA is filed under the name uncultured bacterium. RNAcentral's name for it is "partial 16S ribosomal RNA". It matches the Rfam family "Bacterial small subunit ribosomal RNA", at positions 524 to 776 of the family's 1533-position model. The record is from RNAcentral.